AUUGAACGCUGGCGGCAUGCCUUACACAUGCAAGUCGAACGGCAGCACGGGAGCAAUCCUGGUGGCGAGUGGCGAACGGGUGAGUAAUAUAUCGGAACGUGCCCAGACGUGGGGGAUAACGUAGCGAAAGCUACGCUAAUACCGCAUACGAUCUAUGGAUGAAAGCGGGGGAUCGCAAGACCUCGCGCGAUUGGAGCGGCCGAUAUCAGAGUAGGUAGUUGGUGAGGUAAAGGCUCACCAAGCCGACGAUCUGUAGCUGGUCUGAGAGGACGACCAGCCACACUGGGACUGAGACACGGCCCAGACUCCUACGGGAGGCAGCAGUGGGGAAUUUUGGACAAUGGGCGCAAGCCUGAUCCAGCAAGGCCGCGUGCAGGAUGAAGGCCUUCGGGUUGUAAACUGCUUUUGUACGGAACGAAACGGCGAGCUCUAAUACAGUUUGCUAAUGACGGUACCGUAAGAAUAAGCACCGGCUAACUACGUGCCAGCAGCCGCCGUAA
Molecule: ribosomal RNA, 500 nt
Filed under: uncultured bacterium
Lineage: Bacteria
Description: partial 16S ribosomal RNA
Rfam family: Bacterial small subunit ribosomal RNA
Source: RNAcentral